This 67-nucleotide transfer RNA is filed under the name Marmota monax (woodchuck). RNAcentral describes it as "tRNA.Ala". It matches the Rfam family "tRNA", at positions 6 to 65 of the family's 71-position model. Rfam says of the family: Transfer RNA (tRNA) molecules are approximately 80 nucleotides in length. Their secondary structure includes four short double-helical elements and three loops (D, anti-codon, and T loops). The record is from RNAcentral. Lineage: Eukaryota; Metazoa; Chordata; Mammalia; Rodentia; Sciuridae.
GGCUGUAGCUCAGUGGUAGAGCACUUGCCUUGCACAUGGGAAGCCCUGGGUUUGAUUCCCAGCACCA